This 339-nucleotide ribosomal RNA is filed under the name Triticum aestivum (bread wheat). RNAcentral describes it as "partial small subunit ribosomal RNA". The record is from RNAcentral. Lineage: Eukaryota; Viridiplantae; Streptophyta; Magnoliopsida; Poales; Poaceae.
AUGUAUCAAGUCCUGAAGAAUCAUCUUAGAUGUUUUACAGUUAGUGGGCGGACACAAGACCACCAGUACAACACUACCCAUUUUCCGAUCAAUUGCUUCGUCCAAGCACCAUCAUCUGCUCAUUAUGGAGAGUCGAAGAGCAUUGAAGCAACCAUUGAAGCAAAGCGGCAACAAGCUAACUCUUCGGCUGAUCUCCAGCAACAGAGGCGGCAAGGUGGUGUCAGAGAGGGUCAGGUCAAGCCUGGCGAACGUGUCCUUCGGGGUGUACGGCAUGUGUCGUUCCUGUGUGCUGGCACGCCAAAGAGUUCCCGCCCAUCUCACCGCUGGCGUCGUACAUAG